CUCUCGUCUCUCUUUGAACUUGUUCAAAAUCCGGUGAUGAAGAAGUUGCUUCAGCCGACGCUACUGGAAUCAAAGAUGAUAGCGUUGCUAGCAGUUUCAGUGUCGCGCAAUGUCAACGAUCCAUGUUGUUGCUGCGAACUAUAGCGUCAUGAUCUGGUGGCGACCUGCAACAUCAACAUUCAUCUGUGGCGAUCGUGGAUUUUGUGUGGUGUGGUGACGGUGUUUGUGUGGUGGCGGUGUGGCGGUUGUGUCUAUGGUGAUUCAGAGGGGUGGUUGUGGUUUGUUUGAAGUGUUGCGGUGGGUUGUUUGAGUGUUGCGAUAGUGUCUAAUCUGGCUGUCGGGGUGGCUGUGGUGGUGUAUGAGCUUUGCCAGAGGCUUGCAGAUCGCGAUGGCCCAGCUGCAGCGGCGGUAAUCGCGGUGUUGAUGUUUUUUUCUCUUUUAAGGUUGACGGCAUAGAUCGUGGCGUGAUGGAGCAGAUCGUGGCUAUAGCGGUGUAGAUCGUGGUGUUGAUUUUUUUUCUUGGUUGUUGGAUGCGGUGGCGGCAUGGUGUUGGUGGCGGCAGCGUAGACAUCAAUCGGGUGGAUCAAUAGUGUCUGGGACCAGUAAAUUGCUUGACUCGAUUGUGGUGGUGAAUGCGGUGGUUGUGGAAAUGGGUGACGUUAGUGGUGCUGGCUGUGGCGCUUGCGGUGGCGAUUUAAGGGAAUGGGUGGAUACAGUUUGGGGUGGUUUUUGCUGACUGCGGUGGCAGGGAUGGUGGUGAUGUUGAAAAUUGUGACUGUGGCUCCCAAUUGUGACUUACAAUUAAUUAAGUUGUGAUCGAAAAAUUAAUCGUGACCAAUUAAUUCAAUAAUUUGCAAUGAGUAAAUGAAUUGUGACCAAUAAAAGUUUUGAAUAUGUGAUCGAUGAAUA
Molecule: long non-coding RNA, 909 nt
Filed under: Olea europaea subsp. europaea
Lineage: Eukaryota; Viridiplantae; Streptophyta; Magnoliopsida; Lamiales; Oleaceae
Source: RNAcentral